Long non-coding RNA from Penaeus indicus, 315 nucleotides. RefSeq lists it as uncharacterized. Lineage: Eukaryota; Metazoa; Arthropoda; Malacostraca; Decapoda; Penaeidae. The transcript has 4 exons. The record is from RefSeq and is a predicted model, not a curated record.
CGGUCCCUCACGACGACCACGAUGCGGUCCCUUGCCUUCGUCCUCCUCCUGGCUCUCGCCGUCGCCUUCGUCGGCGCCAAGUCCUUGGUCUGCUGCGGCGGCGGAGGUAACGGAGGUCAUCAUGGUGGCGGAGGCAUCGGUGGAGGCUUCGGGGGCGGCGGAGGAUUGGGAGGUGGAGGAGGUUUUGGCGGUGGUUUUGGAGGAUAAAACCUGAGGACGUCAGGAAAAGCUGAUCAUUUUGCAUCCCGUGACCAACCGACUUGAACCCCUUGUUGGCAGGGGCAGAGUAUUGGGAAUAAAAAGUAUUCAUGAAUC